This 433-nucleotide ribosomal RNA is filed under the name uncultured bacterium. RNAcentral describes it as "partial 16S ribosomal RNA". It matches the Rfam family "Bacterial small subunit ribosomal RNA", at positions 29 to 507 of the family's 1533-position model. The record is from RNAcentral.
AAUGAACGCUGGCGGCAUGCCUAACACAUGCAAGUCGAACGAACCCUUCGGAUCCAUUGGCCCCCGGUGGCGUAACCCGUGGGAACCUGCCCUUGGGUUCGAAAUACCUCCCCGACUGGGGUGCUAUCGCGGGAUAGGGUCUUAUACCCAAAGAUUUUUCGCCUUGGAUUGGGCCGGAGUUGGAUACGUUCGUUGUGAGGGUAAUAGCUUACCAAGCCGACGAUCAAUAGCUGGCCUAAGAGGAUGAUCAGCCACACUGAGACGGAGACACGGCCCAGACUCCUACGGGAUGCAGCAGUGGGGAAUAGUGGACAAUGGGCGAAAGCCUGAUCGAGCAAUGCCGCGUGAGUGAUGAAGGCCUGAGGGUUGUAAAGCUCUUUUACCCGGGAUGAUAAUGACAGUACCGGGAGAAUAAGCUCCGGCUAACUCCGUG